RNAcentral lists this ribosomal RNA (253 nucleotides) under uncultured bacterium. RNAcentral's name for it is "partial 16S ribosomal RNA". It matches the Rfam family "Bacterial small subunit ribosomal RNA", at positions 524 to 776 of the family's 1533-position model. The record is from RNAcentral.
UACAGAGGUCCCAAGCGUUGUUCGGAUUCAUUGGGCGUAAAGGGUGCGUAGGCGGCGCGGUAAGUCGGGUGUGAAAUCUCGGGGCUUAACUCCGAAACUGCAUUCGAUACUGCCGGACUAGAGUUCGGAAGAGGCGAGUGGAAUUCCCGGUGUAGCGGUGAAAUGCGCAGAUAUCAGGAGGAACACCGGUGGCGAAGGCGGGUCUCUGGGCCGAUACUGACGCUGAGGAGCGAAAGCGUGGGGAGCGAACAGG